UAAUAUAAGUGGCUUAAUUUAUUAAAAGUAAGCUUAUUAUGAAAAUAAUCAUAAAAAACUAACACAAGACGCGAAACGAAGUGAGCUUAAGUAGACCAGGGGGAAGGUUGCCGGAAGGUAGUUGGACGCCCGAAGUGGUAUGCGUUGCAACGCAUUCAUAUGAGUUUAUUUAAGUGGCGAAAUACCAAUCGAACUUCGAAAUAUCUCGUUUUUUGCGAAACCUUUUUAGGAAGGGGGCCUGCAAAAUAAAUGCUAACUAGGUAGAGCGCUGUAAAACUGAUGGGAGGGAAACUUUUACUGAGGUGUUGCAAACCACAAAUUAGGAGCAUUUUGCCAGGUACUCAGUCAGUGCGGGACAAGCUGCAUUUGACAAGAAGGAAACAGCCUAGACUAUUAAUUAAGGCCCGCAAAUAGCGCUAAGUGAGAAAGUAAUUAACUUCACAAAAAUUAGUAGGACGUUUGAUUAGCAGCAUCUACCGUUUAAAGAAAGCGUAAUAGCUCACUACUAUAGUUUAGUUGUUGCGAAAAUUUAGCCGGACUAAGCGCUAUGCCGAAAUUAUAGCUAACUGGAAACAAUACAAUCAGUUAGAGUAGCAAAACGAACCAUGUUGACAAAAUUAUGUCGGUAAGACUUAAUGAAAAUAUUGGUUGUGAAUAUAUCAGCUAGAGUAACAUAUAAAUUGAGAUUAUUACUUAAGGCAGCUUUGUAUUAAUGAGUACGAGUGUUAUAAAAGCAUUUUUUUAAUAAUAAAUUAUACUAUUUAUUACUUGAAUUAAUGCAAAGUUGUAUUAAUUCAGAACAGUAUCUCAAUGAUCGGAAAUCCUGGGUUUUCUACACAACUAUUAAAGAUGUAGUUAAAAAUACGGUCCCUAAGUAUCAUAAAGGCUACGAUGGGUACUUGCUGUGUCCAACAAAACCUUAUUCAUAGGUCUGUUGCAGGAAACAGUAGCAAGGAAUUACGUUACGCGUAGCAUAAUAUUUGUCUUAUCUUAUUUUACGCGUAUUAUAAGCACCGUACUAAAACUGACUCUGGUGGAUUGGUAGAUUUUACUAAGAUUUGGUUAUAAUCGCUCGUAAGGAACUCGGCAAAUUGCGCUGGUACUUUCGAAAACAGCGGUCUAAAAGUGGUGUUUUAGAUCUCAGAUAAGAGAACUGGGUGACAGUUUACUAAAAAGUGCGACAAGAAGCAUAUUAUUGCAAUUCGGAAACCCGACCACUAGUCGGAUAGUGUGAACCUACUUGCACCUGCGUCUAGGGUAACUUGGGGGUGGGAAGCUGCAAGGACAAUGUAACUAACUAUCUUGUGCUGAAGAUAGAAGUGCUAGGUUGAUUCUAUAUGAUUAAGCGAAAGCUAACUCAGGUAUAGGCCUCGUGAAGACUGUCACUGUAAACAGCAAAAGCUAGUACAAAGUACGGCGAAUCAGUGUUGGGCUUAGAUAGGGGCUCCUUUUUAUGGCACCUAUAUCCGACCACAUAAGCCUCGGGGUAGACUGAGAAUCUAAGUAGAAUGUAAACGUGUAAUAAUGUGAACUUGGUAAGUCCCAUAUGCACUGCUAUGCAGAGGUUUGGUAGCAAUGCUGAAUAUCGCAUAGGGGAUAAAAGAACGGCUCAAAAAGCGAAUGUCUCCCUGUAAUGGGGAGGAUAAUCUCGAAUGGGGUGCACGAAAGUGAGCAGACUUGAGUCAUUGGUAAAUGUGUGACUAACUUGGUCAUAACGCUGGGUUCCCAGUUAAAAAGCAUGAAUUAAAUUAAUGAUGAAAAAAUUUAAAGAUGAAAAAUACGCGAACACAAUGGAAUAUGAUCGAUUGGAGAAAAUGCGAGCACGAUCUCGCAAUACAACAAAACAAGCUAGUCAUUGCCGCAAAGAGAGGCGACCUUGAUAAAAUAAAAGAAAUACAGAAUCAAAUGGUAAGGAUGUUCUCUUUAAGAGCACUUGCAGUCCGGAAAGUCACUAACAAUAAAGGUAAAAGGACUGCCGGGGUUGAUGGAAAGAGAUGGAUGAGAUCCUCUCAGAAAAUUGAAGCUGUUACACAGCUGAAAGACUUGUCAACAUACAAACCUCAACCUGUUAAACGGGUAUGGCUUCCAAAACCCGGCAAGAACGAAAAACGACCCUUGGGCAUUCCAACGCUAUAUGAUAGAGCUGUUCAGGCACUUUUCUUAUAUGCCUUGGAGCCCAUCACGGAAACAUGGGCAGAUAAACGAAGUUUUGGAUUUAGAAAAAGUAGGUCAACGCAUGAUGCUGCUGAAUAUAUCCGACUUAUGUGUGCGAGUAAAUAUGGCAAGAGAUACGUCCUUGAAGUGGAUAUUAGGAAAUUUUUCGAUACUAUAAAUCACAAUUGGUUAAUAGACAACACACCUAUGAACAAACAAAUGCUUAGAAAACUUCUCAAAGCUGGGGUUUUAGAGUACAACCGACUGGAACCUGGUGAAGCUGGUGUACCACAAGGUGGGGUACUAAGCCCAACCUUGGCAAACCUAACUCUAGACGGACUGGAAAAAGAACUAGCUGUCAAAACUGGGACUUUCUUAGUUAGAUAUGCUGAUGACUUCGUCAUCACUGGCAAGAGUGUUGAGCAAUUGAAAAGUGCAAAGGAAACCGUUGUUGACUUCCUUAAACCAAGAGGAUUAAAAGUAAACUUGGAAAAAACGAAAAUAUCCAGAAUCGAAGAAGGGUUCGACUUCCUAGGAUUUCAUUUUCGAGAGUACCCAGAUGAAACUAGAGCAAAAGGAAAAAAGAAAGGCAUAUUUCUAGUUAAACCUACCAAAGGCAAUAUACAAAAAAUAUGUCGUAAAAUCUCUGAAAUUGUGAAAAAGUACCCGAGUGCAGAAGCCGGGACCCUCACUAAACAUCUUAACCCUGUCAUUAGGGGAUGGGCUGAAUACUAUCGAACUGUUAGUAGCAGAGACGCGUUCAGGAAAGUAAGUAACCAUACGUUCCGAAGCCUACAAAGAUGGGUAUAUAGAAAGCACGGCCGAAGCAAAAGAAGGGAAAAUUUAGCAAGGUACUUCAAAACAGUUGCUACCAACAAAACACUCAACAACUGGGUGUUUAGCGGCGUCAAUGAGAGAAAACAACCUAUUACUCUCUUUCAAAUUGGUAAUACCAAUUUUAAGAAACACACCAUGAUUAAUCUUGAAAAAUUCAAGAAUCCGUUUUUAAAUGAUGACGCGGGCUAUUUUAUCAAACGAUCAAAAAGUCUGGUUCUGAACAGUGUCAUCUUUGACAAAAGAAAGAAACAAGUCAUCAUAAAUCAGCAGGGAAAAUGCGUUCGAUGCAAUAUGCCAUUUGAGCACGAAGACAUAAUAGAGCUCCAUCAUACUAAACCUUUCAAGGAAGGUGGCAGUAGUAAACUGAAAAAUAUGCAAGCCUUGCAUGUCGAGUGCCACAGACAAGUAACUUUUGAGCAAGGCGCUGAAAAGAGCGGCGGGCGAGCAACAAAAUAAUGCUAGCCACAUUAUCAAAGCCGUAUGAAGGGAAACUUUCACGUACGGUUUGAACGGGGGGAAAACUGGGCGACCGGUCUACCUAUCCGACUCUUAGCGUCCUGCCAAUUUGAAACAAGACGUAUAGGAUGUGACGUUUGCUAACGGCCACUAAUUUAAGUAAUCUGUUGUAAAAGAUAGAUCAACAAGAUGUGGUGACGAGCGGCCGUAACUAUAACGGUCAUAAAGUAGCGAAAUUCCUAGGCAUUUAAUUGGUGUCCUGCAUGAAUAACGUAACAACCUGGUUGCUGUCUCGCGAGCGAAAACCGUGAAAUAAGAAUAUCGGUUAAAAUACCGAUUAGGCUGUCUUAGACGAUAAGACCCUGUGAAGCUUUACUGUAACCUAACAUUGCGAUCGGUUUUUUAUCUUACAGUUAGGCGGGAGG
RNAcentral lists this ribosomal RNA (3872 nucleotides) under Ulva australis. The record is from RNAcentral. Lineage: Eukaryota; Viridiplantae; Chlorophyta; Ulvophyceae; Ulvales; Ulvaceae.